RNAcentral lists this ribosomal RNA (253 nucleotides) under uncultured bacterium. RNAcentral's name for it is "partial 16S ribosomal RNA". It matches the Rfam family "Bacterial small subunit ribosomal RNA", at positions 524 to 776 of the family's 1533-position model. The record is from RNAcentral.
UACGAAGGGGGCUAGCGUUGUUCGGAAUCACUGGGCGUAAAGCGCACGUAGGCGGAUCUUUAAGUCAGGGGUGAAAUCCCGAGGCUCAACCUCGGAACUGCCUUUGAUACUGGGGAUGUCGAGUCCGGGAGAGGUGAGUGGAACUGCGAGUGUAGAGGUGAAAUUCGUAGAUAUUCGCAAGAACACCAGUGGCGAAGGCGGCUCAGUGGCCCGGAACUGACGCUGAGGUGCGAAAGCGUGGGGAGCAAACAGG